RNAcentral lists this ribosomal RNA (541 nucleotides) under uncultured marine bacterium. RNAcentral's name for it is "bacterial SSU rRNA". It matches the Rfam family "Bacterial small subunit ribosomal RNA", at positions 384 to 916 of the family's 1533-position model. The record is from RNAcentral.
UGAUGCAGCCAUGCCGCGUGUGUGAAGAAGGCCUUCGGGUUGUAAAGCACUUUCAGUCGUGAGGAAGGUGGUGUAGUUAAUAGCUGCAUUAUUUGACGUUAGCGACAGAAGAAGCACCGGCUAACUCCGUGCCAGCAGCCGCGGUAAUACGGAGGGUGCGAGCGUUAAUCGGAAUUACUGGGCGUAAAGCGCAUGCAGGUGGUUUGUUAAGUCAGAUGUGAAAGCCCGGGGCUCAACCUCGGAAUAGCAUUUGAAACUGGCAGACUAGAGUACUGUAGAGGGGGGUAGAAUUUCAGGUGUAGCGGUGAAAUGCGUAGAGAUCUGAAGGAAUACCGGUGGCGAAGGCGGCCCCCUGGACAGAUACUGACACUCAGAUGCGAAAGCGUGGGGAGCAAACAGGAUUAGAUACCCUGGUAGUCCACGCCGUAAACGAUGUCUACUUGGAGGUUGUGGCCUUGAGCCGUGGCUUUCGGAGCUAACGCGUUAAGUAGACCGCCUGGGGAGUACGGUCGCAAGAUUAAAACUCAAAGAAAAUUGACGG